RNAcentral lists this ribosomal RNA (357 nucleotides) under uncultured bacterium. RNAcentral's name for it is "bacterial SSU rRNA". It matches the Rfam family "Bacterial small subunit ribosomal RNA", at positions 8 to 353 of the family's 1533-position model. The record is from RNAcentral.
AGAGUUUGAUCAUGGCUCAGGAUGAACGCUAGCUACAGGCUUAACACAUGCAAGUCGAGGGGCAGGACAUGGUCUUAGCUUGCUAAGGCCGAUGGCGACCGGCGCACGGGUGAGUAACACGUAUCCAACCUGCCCACCACUUGGGGAUAACCUUGCGAAAGUAAGACUAAUACCCAAUGAUAUCUCUAGAAGACAUCUGAAAGAGAUUAAAGAUUUAUCGGUGAUGGAUGGGGGAUGCGUCUGAUUAGCUUGUUGGCGGGGUAACGGCCCACCAAGGCAACGAUCAGUAGGGGUUCUGAGAGGAAGGUCCCCCACAUUGGAACUGAGACACGGUCCAAACUCCUACGGGAGGCAGCA